RNAcentral lists this ribosomal RNA (305 nucleotides) under Ectopleura environmental sample. RNAcentral describes it as "SSU rRNA". It matches the Rfam family "Eukaryotic small subunit ribosomal RNA", at positions 595 to 906 of the family's 1831-position model. The record is from RNAcentral. Lineage: Eukaryota; Metazoa; Cnidaria; Hydrozoa; Anthoathecata; Tubulariidae.
UAGCGUAUAUUAAAGUUGUUGCAGUUAAAAAGCUCGUAGUUGGAUUUCGGGACGGGUCAGUUGGUCCACCGAAAGGUGUGUUACUGAUUGGUCUGUUCUUCUUCGCGAAGACUACGCGUGCCCUUCAUUGUGUGUGCGUAGGAUUUACGACGUUUACUUUGAAAAAAUUAGAGUGUUCAAAGCAGGCUAUCGCUUGAAUACAUGAGCAUGGAAUAAUGGAAUAGGACUUUGGUCCUAUUUUGUUGGUUUCUAGGACCGAAGUAAUGAUUAAGAGGGACAAUUGGGGGCAUCCGUAUUUCGUUGUC